UGAUUGUGACCGAGAUCGUCAAACUAUUUUGGUCCAGGUCUUAGUGAUGUCCUGGAAAAGCUACCUCCCGGCUCCCGCAAUGUAUGAUACAAACUAUGGUAUUUAUUUGGACUAUAAGUGGGAUAAGGCGACUAAAAUGCAUCCUGACCAGGAGCCAAAGGUAUUUUAUUACUUUUUGGCUCUGCUGAAAUCAGUUUCUGAAGUUUCUUUCUAUUAUGUUCGCGUUUUGCUAUAGUAUUACGACUUUCAAAUGAAACAUGUUUCAAUAUUUUUUAGUUUGUGGGACAAAUAGGAAAUUGAUUAGACAAUAAAUUAUUUUUGGAUUGAUAAUGUGUGUGCAAAGAAGGUUAUUUAAGAUUUUAAGUGCAAGAAACACUUUUGAAAAGUUUUUAUUCAGCCAUGAUGCUGCUAGUGGCCACAAGAAAUGCCUCUAUUAGACACACCUAGUGGUCAAGAAAUGUGUGUGGGACCUUUGACAAACCAUUAGCAUCUUGGGGGCUAUGAUGGCUAAGAGAUCUAGGAAUGAAGCAGUUUUUGAAAAUGUGGAGCAGAUUAUAUUACAAACUACAGGUGCUUAUGAAGGUCAAAGCUACGGUUAAUACUGGAUUCUGCCAUUCUGGGUACAGAAAAAGAAAAGAUUUGGCAGAAUUUAUCAUUGGGAGAGAUCAAUGGGCUUUAACACCCCGUCUUUCAAGAAUUGGAAGUAGCAAGCUUAUUAUUUGGUUAUUGGCUUUUUAUGCAAUUUAUUCUCAUCGUUUCCAUGCCGAAGAACCAAUUACUCUCUGUUUUUAAUUUUAUUAGAGAAACCCCACAAUUUGUUUGCUUCUUUUCUAGGACCCUUCAUAGCCUAAAUCCUGUUUACUUUGCAGGAGGAGGUAUCACUGGAUACAUUUCUGAAAAAACUAGGUCUUGAGAAGUAUAUCGAAAUAUUUGAGAAAGAGGAGGUAUGUGUUUUCUUUUUCUUUUUAGUUUUCUGGAUGUAAGGAAAACCCUAAAUAUCUUUUACAUUAUAUCAUCAACAUUUCCUUUGUAGCUGGUAAUACUUCUUAUAUAGUUUGAUCCAUUUUUAGUCUUUCCUUUGCAGAUUACUUUGAGGAUUUUGAAAAAGUUCGACUGCGAGGAUUUUGGGGAUCUACAUAUUCCAGCAGUAAAUUAAAAUGGUUUUUAGAAUUUUUCCUUUUAGUUUUGCUUCUGAUGCCCAUUUAUAAUUUUACUACAGUACCUAGCUGUGCAUGAUUUAACAAGAUCUAUGAAAAAUCUACCUUUUAAAGUUGGUAAAUAGCAAUUUCAUUGUAGAAGGAUUUAAUUCAGAAAUUGCAAUGAGGUGGUAGGUGUUUAGAGGCAUCUGUAUUGUUACUAGCUUCAAAGAUUUGCCAACUAGGUUGGCAGUCCUUAGCAGACUCAACUCUUGAAUAUAUACUAAGUUCAAGUACAUUUCUAUUCUUGAACCAGCCAAAAAGCUUCAUUCAAUAAAAUUUAGUGAGAAUCCAAGGAAAAGAGGGAAUAUGAUUCCUAGAAUCCUAGUAGAGGGCUGCCAUGUGAACAAGCAGAUGAUUCAGUCCAAUGUCUUUGAGGAUAUUGCUUUAUCUAGUGGGAAUGUAGGAAACUGUCAGUUGGUUCAAUGUCAUCUUCUGUCUAAACAAGCAGAAGAGGUAUUGCUUUGAGGGAAUGUAGACAAUACCUCUUUUCUCUUUGAGGGUAUUGCUUUAUUUAGACAGAAGAGGUAUUGUUUAGACAGCACCCUCACGUUUGAAUUAACAAAAGAUGGCUAGCUGCAGAUGCCAGCUGAGCCUAGUUGGUAAUACCUCUGGACGAUGAUACCAGAGGUUUGGGGUUCGAACCCAGGCAGUACAUCUUUGAGUAACUGAUCUGUUAAAAACAGGCUUGCCAAUAAAUAAAAAAAUGGCUAGCUGAUGUUACCUUAUUAUGUUCAUUUGUUUAAUUAUUGUUUCUGUUGCUCUUUGAUUGUACUUUGGAUUCCUUGUUUUUUCCUUAUUUAUCUUCUGACCAUGUAUUUCCGUCAAACUUGGUGUUGUAGAGUUGUAGGAGGAAAUUAAGACGCGCGUUGCAAGACACUGGAUUUGGAGUCAUAAUUGGUAGAUAUAGAAGGUAGCCAAGGAGUUUGUGACUUUUGUUGUUUUUUCAAAGUUUGUGAAUGUAGAGCAAUGCCAAGGAUUGUAGGACUGUCUUUCAUAUGUAAUUUUAAAAGGUGGAUAACCCAUCACUCUACCUUACAUAUGUAAUUUUAAAUGGUUAUAUUGGAUUCAGUAGACUGGCACAUCUAUGUUACUCAAAUGUUUGUAGUAAA
RNAcentral lists this long non-coding RNA (2308 nucleotides) under Aquilegia coerulea. RNAcentral describes it as "long non-coding RNA (ACOE_LNC002128)". Lineage: Eukaryota; Viridiplantae; Streptophyta; Magnoliopsida; Ranunculales; Ranunculaceae. The record is from RNAcentral.